RNAcentral lists this ribosomal RNA (375 nucleotides) under uncultured bacterium. RNAcentral describes it as "bacterial SSU rRNA". It matches the Rfam family "Bacterial small subunit ribosomal RNA", at positions 523 to 898 of the family's 1533-position model. The record is from RNAcentral.
ACACGUAGGGGGCGAGCGUUGUCCGGAAUUACUGGGCGUAAAGGGUGCGUAGGCGGUCUGUUAAGUCAGAUGUGAAAGACCUGGGCUCAACCCGGGAUGUGCAUCUGAGACUGGCGGACUUGAGUGCAGGAGAGGGAAGUGGAAUUUCUAGUGUAGCGGUGGAAUGCGUAGAUAUUAGGAAGAACACCAGUGGCGAAGGCGGCUUCCUGGGCUGUAACUGACGCUGAGGCACGAAAGCGUGGGGAGCGAACAGGAUUAGAUACCCUGGUAGUCCACGCCGUAAACGAUGGAUACUAGGUGUAGGUAUCGUAGGAUAUCUGUGCCGGAGUUAACGCAAUAAGUAUCCCGCCUGGGGAGUACGGCCGCAAGGUUGAA